This 417-nucleotide ribosomal RNA is filed under the name uncultured bacterium. RNAcentral's name for it is "bacterial SSU rRNA". It matches the Rfam family "Bacterial small subunit ribosomal RNA", at positions 362 to 776 of the family's 1533-position model. The record is from RNAcentral.
UAUUGGUCAAUGGGCGGGAGCCUGAACCAGCCAAGUCGCGUGAGGGAGUAAGGCCCUACGUUUCGUACACCUCUUUUGCCGGGGAGCAGGGCGGCGGACGUGUCCGCCGUUUGAGAGUACCCGGAGAAAAAGCAUCGGAUAACUCCGUGCCAGCAGACGCGGUAAUACGGAGGAUGCGAGCGUUAUCUGGAUUUAUUUGGUUUAAAGGGUGCGUAGGCGGGCUUUUAAGUCAGCGGUAAAAAUUCGGGGCUCAAACCCGUCCGGCCGUUGAAACUGGGGGCCUUGAGUGGGCGAGAAGAAGGCGGAAUGCGUGGUGUAGCGGUGAAAUGCAUAGAUAUCACGCAGAACCCCGAUUGCGAAGGCAGCCUUCCGGCGCCCUACUGACGCUGAGGCACGAAAGUGCGGGGAUCGAACAGG